AGUGAACGCUGGCGGUAGGCCUAACACAUGCAAGUCGAACGGCAGCACAGUAAGAGCUUGCUCUUACGGGUGGCGAGUGGCGGACGGGUGAGGAAUACAUCGGAAUCUACUUUUUCGUGGGGGUUAACGUAGGGAAACUUACGCUAAUACCGCAUACGACCUACGGGUGAAAGCAGGGGAUCUUCGGACCUUGCGCGAUUGAAUGAGCCGAUGUCGGAUUAGCUAGUUGGCGGGGUAAAGGCCCACCAAGUCGACGAUCCGUAGCUGGUCUGAGAGGAUGAUCAGCCACACUGGAACUGAGACACGGUCCAGACUCCUACGGGAGGCAGCAGUGGGGAAUAUUGGACAAUGGGCGCAAGCCUGAUCCAGCCAUACCGCGUGGGUGAAGAAGGCCUUCGGGUUGUAAAGCCCUUUUGUUGGGAAAGAAAAGCAGCAGGUUAAUACCCCGCUGUUCUGACGGUACCCAAAGAAUAAGCACCGGCUAACUUCGUG
This 492-nucleotide ribosomal RNA is filed under the name uncultured bacterium. Its description in RNAcentral is "partial 16S ribosomal RNA". It matches the Rfam family "Bacterial small subunit ribosomal RNA", at positions 29 to 507 of the family's 1533-position model. The record is from RNAcentral.